AUCUCUUCUCUGGUGAGCUUCUCUCCCCUCUACGCUUACCUCCGAUCACCUCCCUGUCGGCAGGGCAGAUGAAGCGCAACCUCCCAUGGCUGCGAUUAGGUUGUGCCUUGGCCGCGGCCUCACAACGAGGUUGCAAGGCUGGGCGCGACCUCAGCUGCAGCCUUGCAGCGAGGUCGGGCGCGAUCUCGGCCUCGCAGUCAAAGAAAAUCAGCUGCUCUUUUUGUUGGUUCUUCCUCUCGUUGGAGAAUAAGCGUGACAAUGAGUUUAAUGUCUGUUUUUCUGAGUUGUUUGAUAACUAACUACAAGUUAUCAAAAAUCAUGGAAUUCUAACAUUGUGCCCAUUGGUACAUUACGUUUUGGUGUUUGUAGGCACAAGACUGUGCUAAUGAAGGUUGAUGUCGUCAGGAGGUUCCAGUUGCUAGUCCUCUUGCCGCAAGAACUUUCGUUUUGGUCUUUUAGUGUAGUUAUCUGCUUAGAGUCAUUUUUUCAGACUUGGAUUGGUUUGUACACUGGAUUUUGUGUGGUUUGUCUUUAAGUAAUGUACUAGUUGGGUUUUGUU
Molecule: long non-coding RNA, 559 nt
Organism: Zingiber officinale
Lineage: Eukaryota; Viridiplantae; Streptophyta; Magnoliopsida; Zingiberales; Zingiberaceae
Exons: 2
Source: RefSeq, a predicted model, not a curated record